UACAGGGGGGGCAAGCGUUGUUCGGAAUUACUGGGCGUAAAGGGCUCGUAGGUGGCCAACUAAGUCAGACGUGAAAUCCCUCGGCUUAACCGGGGAACUGCGUCUGAUACUGGAUGGCUUGAGUUUGGGAGAGGGAUGCGGAAUUCCAGGUGUAGCGGUGAAAUGCGUAGAUAUCUGGAGGAACACCGGUGGCGAAGGCGGCAUCCUGGACCAACAUUGACGCUGAGGAGCGAAAGCUAGGGGAGCAAACGGG
This 253-nucleotide ribosomal RNA is filed under the name uncultured bacterium. Its description in RNAcentral is "partial 16S ribosomal RNA". It matches the Rfam family "Bacterial small subunit ribosomal RNA", at positions 524 to 776 of the family's 1533-position model. The record is from RNAcentral.